This 466-nucleotide ribosomal RNA is filed under the name uncultured bacterium. Its description in RNAcentral is "partial 16S ribosomal RNA". It matches the Rfam family "Bacterial small subunit ribosomal RNA", at positions 28 to 507 of the family's 1533-position model. The record is from RNAcentral.
GAUGAACGCUGGCGGCGUGCUUAACACAUGCAAGUCGAACGGAAAGGCUCCUGCUUGCAGGGGUACUCGAGUGGCGAACGGGUGAGUAACACGUGGGUGAUCUGCCCUGCACUUCGGGAUAAGCCUGGGAAACUGGGUCUAAUACCGGAUAGGACGAUGGUUUGGAUGCCAUUGUGGAAAGUUUUUUCGGUGUGGGAUGAGCUCGCGGCCUAUCAGCUUGUUGGUGGGGUAAUGGCCUACCAAGGCGUCGACGGGUAGCCGGCCUGAGAGGGUGUACGGCCACAUUGGGCCUGAGAUACGGCCCAGACUCCUACGGGAGGCAGCAGGGGAGAAUAUUGCACAAUGAGCGCAAGCCUGAUGCAGCGACGCCGCGUGGGGGAUGACGGCCUUCGGGUUGUAAACUCCUUUCGCUAGGGACGAAGCGCAAGUGACGGUACCUGGAGAAGAAGCACCGGCUAACUACGUG